Molecule: ribosomal RNA, 984 nt
Filed under: Triticum aestivum (bread wheat)
Lineage: Eukaryota; Viridiplantae; Streptophyta; Magnoliopsida; Poales; Poaceae
Description: partial small subunit ribosomal RNA
Source: RNAcentral
AACAGUAGAUUCUUCAGGUCACAUAAGUACAUGUUGGAUGAAGAGAAGUGCUUGAUAAAAGUUUUGAAGCAUACAAACCUUGAAACAAGAAGGAUUGUUGUUGUCCUGGCUUACAUAAGAGGAGGAAUGGCUCAUCUACCAUACACAAAGAAACAUGUCACUAACUAUGCAGCAAAAAUAAACAGAGACAUCGCAAACUCUGACAUGAUGGAAGUAGUGCAAAUGUUCAACAAGAAGCAAACAGAAAAUCAUGGCUUUUGCUACUCGUUUGAGCUUGAUGGAGAGAAUAAAGUGAGAAGCUUAUUCUGGACAGAUGUGAGGUCAAGAAUGAUGUAUGAAAUCUUUGGAGAUUGCAUCAGUUUUGACACUACAUUCCUAACAAACAAGUACAACUUACCGUUUGCACCGUUUGUGGGAAUAUCCCCACACGGCAACACAUACUUGUUUGCUUGUGCAUUCAUUAUCAAUGAGACAAAAGACAUGUUUGCUUGGUUGUUUGAACAAUUCCUGAUGGCUAUGGGAGGCAAGCAUCCUAUAUUGAUAAUUACAGAUCAGGACAAGGCAAUGCAAGGAGCUAUUGAACAAGUAUUUCCUAAUGCUACCCAUAGGAGCUGCCUGUUUCACAUAAAGAAAAAGGCAGAGGAGAAAGUUGGGCCAUGUUUCCAAGCUAAUGAAGGCCUCUAUGAAGAUUUCCAGGACAUUCUGGACAACUCCUUGACUGUGGAAGAAUUUGAAACAGACUGGCAAGAAAUGAUAGAGAAAUACCAAGUUCACCACAUAAAGUACUUCAGCGACAUGUGGGAAAACAGGAAAAAGUGCAUACUAGUGUAUUUCAAGGACAAGUUCUUCCCAUUCAUUCAAACUACAGCUAGAAGUGAAGGAACUAAUGCCCUUUUCAAGAAAGGGGUUGGGACUAAAUUUAGUGCUACUAGCUUUUUAAGAGAGUAUGACCGGAUACUUGAUGUUGUGCAUGACAGGGAAUAA